Molecule: long non-coding RNA, 383 nt
Organism: Alligator mississippiensis (American alligator)
Lineage: Eukaryota; Metazoa; Chordata; Crocodylia; Alligatoridae
Exons: 4
Source: RefSeq, a predicted model, not a curated record
CGUUUCAUCCUCUCAUAUUCGUCUCCCUGCGCAGGGAAUGACAUGAACACAGCGGGAGAUUCAAACGCUCUGCUUUUAGUUUAAAAAUAAAAGAGAGAGGCACAUACAGUCCCCCUAAUAUUCUCUGGGCCAUUUGCAUCAUUUUGGUGCCCUGCUUGAAAGAGAAACUUAUCUGCCCACUCUCCUCCAAACUCUGCAUGAAGACUACUGACCAAAUAUGAACAGAAAAAACACACAGAUAAUGAAAUACUAAUGGGAGCAGAAACUUGAACCUAGAUCUCAUACGUGCCAAGCUCAAGGCCGACCUCAGGUAUGUUUCAUCUAAAUCCACUUUGAUGCAGCCCAGCAGCUCAUAGAUGCAGUCGAUCCUUGCUUCUACAUCG